This is a long non-coding RNA of Drosophila guanche, 190 nucleotides long. RefSeq lists it as uncharacterized. NCBI's taxonomy places the organism in Eukaryota, Metazoa, Arthropoda, Insecta, Diptera, Drosophilidae. The record is from RefSeq and is a predicted model, not a curated record. The transcript is spliced from 3 exons.
UUUUUCUGCGAAGUAUUCCUAACUAAGUAGUGGAAAAUCUCCAAUAUAUCUGCAAUAAAAAGUGGUACGAAAAAUGUAAAUUACUGAACGAGAAUCCAACUAAAUAUUUGUGAUUUCGAAACGAUAAAAGCCUAUAGAAAGUGGUGAAGUUUUGUGUCAAAUCCAAGCACAGACUCUACAUGCAAGAAUU